CGUCCAAGCAGUAAGGCUGAGUGUUAGGCAAAUCCGGCACUCAUAAGGCUGAGCUGUGAUGGGGAGAGGAAAUUGUUUCCUCGAGUCGUUGAUUUCACACUGCCGAGAAAAGCCACUAGAUAGAUAACAGGUGCCCGUACCGCAAACCGACACAGGUAGUCAAGAUGAGAAUUCUAAGGUGAGCGAGCGAACUCUCGUUAAGGAACUCGGCAAAAUGACCCCGUAACUU
Molecule: ribosomal RNA, 229 nt
Filed under: Staphylococcus epidermidis
Lineage: Bacteria; Bacillati; Bacillota; Bacilli; Caryophanales; Staphylococcaceae
Description: partial 23S ribosomal RNA
Rfam family: Bacterial large subunit ribosomal RNA
Source: RNAcentral